GCCCCGGCCGGGUUCGGGUGCGCAGGGUGCUGCGGUGCGGGGUCCAGCGGGCAGGCGCCGAGAGGGCAGGGAGAAGGGGUUGCGAAGGCAUUGAUUUGCAUCAUUUAAAAUGAAGAGCCAGCUGAGUUGGUGUACACCUAUACCCCAGCACUGGGGAGGCUGAGACAGGAGGAUCACUGUGAAUUCAAGAGCUCUGAAGUUCCAUAAGGAGCCUGAAAGUUAAAACUUGUUAUAAUUCUGCAAUAUUGUGUCAGUGAAUGUUUGUGUUGUUGGAUCACCGCUCCCGCGGUGUAGAUUCUUCGUUGGUUUAACACCCUAGGAUACCGGGGAUGUUAUGUAACAAGAUCGGUGGCUACUGUUUCUGUUUAAAUAAAUGAUAAUGUUAGCUGAAGAGGACCAGCCCGGUGCCUUGGCUGGCAGGGAGCUCUGAGGCCCCCUGCAGGCGGGCUGUGUGUUUGCAGGAGAAGGGAAGAGACCGGACCGCUGGGCCUCCAGCCGGAGGACAAUAGAAUCAGCCAGCCAGCAACAAUAACACGUUCCGUAAGCCGGAUCGGUCUCGUCCCACCCUGGCAGAGCCAAGCCCUGUGAGCUGAGGAGAAGCUAGAAGUGAAACAAUGAAGUAGGUGAAACAAGAAACUAGAAGCUCCUUCCCUUCCUGUCUGAACUAAGCACCUUUAGCUGCCCUUAGUACACAUUUACUCAGUGCCUGGGACGUGCAGAAUUUCCUGCUUGACUUGAACAAAUAUUCUGAGCACUUUCUGAGAGGAGGGAAGCUGAGAAUAGGCAGAUAUGAGAUCGGCAGAUGUUU
Long non-coding RNA from Octodon degus (degu), 808 nucleotides. RefSeq lists it as uncharacterized. The record is from RefSeq and is a predicted model, not a curated record. NCBI's taxonomy places the organism in Eukaryota, Metazoa, Chordata, Mammalia, Rodentia, Octodontidae. The transcript is spliced from 3 exons.